Cyprinus carpio (common carp) is the source of this 2983-nucleotide long non-coding RNA. RefSeq lists it as uncharacterized. The transcript has 3 exons. The record is from RefSeq and is a predicted model, not a curated record. Lineage: Eukaryota; Metazoa; Chordata; Actinopteri; Cypriniformes; Cyprinidae.
UAGGAGUGACUGGAGUGCGUUUCUGGGCAGGGCGGAGGACACGGGGGCGUGUCCUUAAAACUUUGAACCAAUAAAUGAUAGAGGGGGUGGGACCAACAUUCCAUAGUUUUUGAAGGUGUGCUGCGAGGAGCCCUGACAGCUCCACUUUCACUGAAUGUGGGACAAAAGUCUUUAAAAAAAACUGAGUGAUAUAGGAUUGGAACAACAUGAGGAUGUAAUUCCAAGAAGCCAGGAUGAAGUGACAUUAUUCCAUACUUUAGUAGUGCAUGAAGAAGUAUCCUUGAAAUAGUUUGAAGUGCUCGACAGCUACUGGAGACUUUGGCUCAGGUCCUGUUCGUCUCUUUGGGAGUCUACAUGUUUUGUGUUUGUAUGUGUACGUGUGAAUGUGAUGAUAGGUAAGGAAGAGGCAGAAUUAAUUCACCUUGCUGACAACAGAUAUCCCGGGAGAGUGUGUGUUCAGGCAGUAAUCACUGUGGCCACCGUGUGCGGCAGCAGUCGGUGGUCCCUUGUUAUUAUCUGCGCGUGUUAAAUUACCGGCCCAAGAUGUGAGUAAUGCUAGGUAGGUAAGACCAGCAAUGCGGCAGGCCCAUCUCUCUUAGCAGCAGGUGGAGAGUGUUCGCCAAUGACAUUGGGAAGCACGGCGGUGGGUAUAUUCGGUUGCUAAUUCUUCCAAGUCUUCCCCUCGCUAUGGCACGUCCUAUUAAUUCCCCUGUCCUCUUCUCAUUAAUAUCACAUGAUUGUGCGGCGGAGUCUUCCCCUGUGUGAUUGGUCCCUCUGGAGGAUUUACAGUCCCUGGACAAUGAAGCAGAACUUCCCCGUUCCCUCGUUCUCAAACGUGUGAAGGUCUCACCCACCGAGGCCUGAAUUGGCCUCUUUGGUUAUUAUCUAAUUAAUAAAGCAGCAUGAUAAUGGGCAGCACAUACACGGCAGAGAGGUAUUCACACCUGGGCUUUCAUAUCUGACUCUUGUGUCAUUUCCUGACCGCAGUUUUGUCCUGUCUCGGAAUUAGCUGGAUGUAUCCAGGUUUUUGUGGCAGUGGAGCGCAGCUGAGAGCCCUUGUAGAGGUCAUAUCUGCAGCGCAGCAGAGCUCUGAUUUAUAUAAAUGAAGUUCUGGGUGCCAGUGGUCCAUGUGGGCCGGGUCUGGGCUAUUGCGUGGGAGUCUCAGCAGUGCUGUGGUAAUUAAGAAUCGGGGCUAAACGGGGAACAGUCACCUUGUGCUCCUCCAGGAGCUGCUCUGGAGUGUGUUUUCUGCUCCUGCAAUCAGGUGUUGUCCCAAAACUUGCAUCCCCACCUCACCCUGCUCCUGUUUUAUGUAGUUUUAGUAAGCUGAACAAGAGCACGGUUGACAGACAGCCAAAGGUACACUUUAAAAUGAUUGCUGGUUAAAAAAGCAUCAAAGAAUUACUUGAUUAUUGCAGAUAUUUAUGUUUUAUGAACAGAAAGUGAGUUGCAUCCAGAUAGGCCUGCACUGAAAAACACUAAAGAAAAUCUUUUUUGUGUUUGUCAUAUGUUCACUGCUGUGACGGAAGGCUGUAAAGGAGAAGUUGUGCGAAAAGCCCUUAUAUGGAGAUGAUUUGGGUGUGUUUUGUGCAAAUUAUUAACCUUGGGCAUGAGGUCACUCUUUUAGAAUACUCUAAAAUCGUUAACAUUAGAUUUAAUGUUCAUUAAGAACAAAAUCGUGUGCACACAUGUGUUGUGAAUUUUGCGAAUAUUUUUCUUGAGAAGUUCUCUUGGUUGUACAAAUAUAAAAUAAUUAAUUGUUUUUAUGAUAUGUGAAUGAGACCUGUUAGCUUUAGCUAACUUAGCAAGAUCUGCCACAACAGUAGUUUGCCUGAAAGAGAAAACUGACUGUACAGUAAGUAGACAUUGAUGCUAAAACCUGCUGUAGCACCCAUGAAGGCAAUGUUGAGAAUACAAUAUAAUGAAUUGUUGAAACUGUGAAUUGCAGUCAUAAACAUUUCACAAUAAAUGCACAAAAUCUUUUGAAGCUUGUGUAGCUAGAAAUAUCUGCACUUACAUACAUGUAAAUUUAUUUAUUUAAAGAUACACUGCAGAUUUCCUGGUUCUCUAAAGUGGCUUCAUUCAAUUUUGAACUGUAUAACUUUUUUGAGAACUUUUUUUUUAUUUAUGCAGUGCCUUAAAUUUUAAUUUCUUAAAAAAACCUAUGUUCAAGAAAUACUCAGUGCUGUACAGUGUGACAUAGAUGUUGCACACUCUACAGUCUGUGCAAGGAAUACAUUUAUGACUGUAGCUCAUGUGCAAUACAGUUUUGCAUGUGUUCGAGGCAAGGUCACUUGUUUGUGUGAAGCGAGAGUUUGUUGUGUGCUUGUCUGAGUGUGAGGUUAAUCAGUGGUGCACCGCUAAUUUACUUGGUAGAUAUUCUGUUGUAUGAUUUAAAAACCAUGUCUUGGCUGUGUUUUGAGUCCAUACACCCAAUUCCAUUGGUAAAGAGUUAUUUAAAGUAAUGACCAACAGAUCUGUCCUGCUAAUUUUGAGUGCAAUGUUGUUGAAGUGUAAAUGGAUUGUGAUAUUGGGCUAUAUGAACAAAAUUAAGCAAGAGGUGUUAUGUUCCUUCCACUUUGUCUACCAUUUUUGACAAAUAAAGAGAAUGUUUGUCUGAAAACAUUAAGGGGGUUGGAUUUGCCAAUCACAUGCCUGUUUAAGUGAUGAACUGCACUACUUGUAGUUGCUUUCAGAGAUAUAACAUGCUUUAAAUACUUGUGCUACAAUUGUGUGGGCUGUGCUACAAAACUUUCAACUUCUGUAGAACCAAUUAACAGACAGACCUGUUAGUUCAAUCAAUGUUCAUUACAGUACAUUUCUAACUAAUGUCUAACAUUCUCAAUGAUCUGUUAAGCAUUAAAUGAUGCAGUCAUGAUAGUUAAAAGGAACAGUUCAUCCAAACAUGAAAACUCUGUCACAUGAGAGUGAGUAAAUGACAGAAUUUUAAUUUUUGAGUGAUGUUCGUAAUGAUAGUUAUUAG